Molecule: non-coding RNA, 219 nt
Organism: Cinara cedri
Lineage: Eukaryota; Metazoa; Arthropoda; Insecta; Hemiptera; Aphididae
Source: the annotation of a GenBank genome assembly
AUAACUAUAAUGUUAUCCAUUAUUAUUUAUAAGUACCAAGAAGUAAAUAAAAACAUCAAUCAUAACAAGCGUCGAGAAAUAAAUGAGAGAGUUAUGUUCGGGUACAAGUGAUGUUACAGUAUAACGAAGCAUAUAAAGUCAAAGUCAACUCUCUAAAGUACCACCUAGAGAACAUUUCCUCAAUUGAUGAUAGAAGUAUGUUUUCUGGUAGAAAAAGUG